This 253-nucleotide ribosomal RNA is filed under the name uncultured bacterium. RNAcentral describes it as "partial 16S ribosomal RNA". It matches the Rfam family "Bacterial small subunit ribosomal RNA", at positions 524 to 776 of the family's 1533-position model. The record is from RNAcentral.
UACGAAGGGGGCUAGCGUUGUUCGGAAUUACUGGGCGUAAAGAGUGCGUAGGCGGUUUUCUAAGUUUGGGGUGAAAUCUCCCGGCUUAACUGGGAGGGUGCGCCGAAGACUGGAAGGCUUGAGUAUGGGAGAGGUAAGCGGAAUUCCUGGUGUAGCGGUGAAAUGCGUAGAUAUCAGGAGGAACACCUGCGGUGUAGACGGCUUACUGGACCAUCACUGACGCUGAGGCACGAAAGCGUGGGUAGCAAACAGG